UAGAGUUUGAUCCUGGCUCAGGAUGAACGCUGGCGGCGUGCUUAACACAUGCAAGUCGAACGAUGCCUUCGGGCAUAGUGGCGCACGGGUGAGUAACACGUAGCUGACCUGCCCUCAAGACCGGGAUAACGGUCCGAAAGGACUGCUAAUACCGGAUAAGCUCACGGCCUUUAGAGGGUUGCGAGAAAACAUUCAGGUGCUUGAGGAGGGGGCUGCGGCCCAUCAGCUAGUUGGUGCGGUAAUGGCGUACCAAGGCGACGACGGGUAGGGGGCCUGAGAGGGUGGUCCCCCACACUGGGACUGAGACACGGCCCAGACUCCUACGGGAGGCAGCAGUGAGGAAUAUUGGUCAAUGGGGGCAACCCUGAACCAGCGACGCCGCGUGGGUGAUGAAGGUUUUCGGAUCGUAAAGCCCUUUUCUAGGUGACGAGCGAGGACGGUAGCCUAGGAAAAAGUCUCGGCUAACUACGUGCCAGCAGCCGCGGUAAAACGUAGGAGGCAAGCGUUAUCCGGAGUUACUGGGCGUAAAGAGCGUGUAGGCGGGCUGGCAAGUCUGGUGUGAAAGCUCCCGGCUAAACUGGGAGAGUGCAUUGGAGACUGCCAAUCUAGAGGCUGUCAGAGGGUCGUGGAAUUCCGGGUGUAGUGGUGAAAUGCGUAGAGAUCCGGAGGAACACCAGUGGCGAAGGCGACGACCUGGGGCAGAACUGACGCUGAGACGCGAAAGCACGGGGAGCGAACGGGAUUAGAAACCCCGGUAGUCCGUGCC
This 766-nucleotide ribosomal RNA is filed under the name uncultured bacterium. RNAcentral's name for it is "bacterial SSU rRNA". It matches the Rfam family "Bacterial small subunit ribosomal RNA", at positions 1 to 801 of the family's 1533-position model. The record is from RNAcentral.